CAGCAGCCGCGGUAAUACGAAGGGUGCAAGCGUUAAUCGGAAUUACUGGGCGUAAAGCGUGCGUAGGCGGUGAGUUAAGUCUGCUGUGAAAUCCCCGGGCUCAACCUGGGAAUGGCAGUGGAUACUGGCUCGCUAGAGUGUGUCCGAGGAUGGUGGAAUUCCCGGUGUAGCGGUGAAAUGCGUAGAGAUCGGGAGGAACAUCAGUGGCGAAGGCGGCCAUCUGGGACAACACUGACGCUGAGGCACGAAAGCGUGGGGAGCAAACAGGAUUAGAUACCCCAGUAGUCCCUGUCUAUUAUAC
Molecule: ribosomal RNA, 301 nt
Filed under: uncultured bacterium
Lineage: Bacteria
Description: partial 16S ribosomal RNA
Rfam family: Bacterial small subunit ribosomal RNA
Source: RNAcentral